GUGCUGUGUUUGACAACUCUGGAAGAUGCUCUUUUUAAGGCAAUCUUUUCCUAACCUUAAUUAGAGAAAGGGUGCCAAAGGCUGACCCAAAUCCAUCUGAGGAUCUGCGUGACUUCACGUUGCCUGUAUGGAAGAGCUCCAGCUUGCUAAAUGCCUGAACCGAGAAAGAUUGAAAUAAGAACAAGAAACAUGGACGUACCCUGCUGCAAAAAAGAUGAAGAUUUGACCAUGGCUUUGUCAAGGAAGUGCAGCAAGAGGAAUCAAGCCCAGUGGAUCAGUCUUCCCCAGGGCUCCUCCCUGCUGUUGGAGGUGGAGAGUUCAACUGUGCCAAAUCUCUGCUUGGUUCAGUAUCUGCUGGUGGAUGAGGGGAAGUAGCUAAAAGCAUGCCAAUCCUCACCCUGUUCUCUUACCUCUCCAAGUCCCAUUUCUCACCCUGUGCUCUCUCCAUGUUUUUUAGUUAUGUCUUUGUUCCCUUCUUCUGCAGCAACAGGCAAAAGUUUGGCCCACAAAUACAAACAGAAAAUGUGCUUGGGACUCUGCUGAGAGCCUAGUCAAGGCUACACCACGCAAGGGAAGAAGAAGGACAAAUGGCCCCGUGUGUUAACAGGACCCAGAACCCUCUCCUGGUCUCAUGGCCCCUUUGGAGCUGUGAUGCCUUCCAUCACUACUGUGACCCAGACAACAACAGCUCAGAAAAUUCUACUGAUGUUACAGAAGUCAGCCUGACCUACAGUGCUUCAGCUGGCCUUGCCUGACAUGUGGGACCACACAAGACAGAAAAGUUAUCGUGCUCAAACAAGUCCCUCAAGCC
Molecule: long non-coding RNA, 811 nt
Organism: Aquila chrysaetos chrysaetos
Lineage: Eukaryota; Metazoa; Chordata; Aves; Accipitriformes; Accipitridae
Exons: 4
Source: RefSeq, a predicted model, not a curated record